Molecule: ribosomal RNA, 439 nt
Filed under: uncultured bacterium
Lineage: Bacteria
Description: partial 16S ribosomal RNA
Rfam family: Bacterial small subunit ribosomal RNA
Source: RNAcentral
CUACGGGUGGCUGCAGUGGGGAAUAUUGCACAAUGGAGGAAACUCUGAUGCAGCAACGCCGCGUGGAGGAUGACACUUUUCGGAGCGUAAACUCCUUUUAUAUAGGAAGAAGAUGACGGUACUAUAUGAAUAAGCGCCGGCUAACUCCGUGCCAGCAGCCGCGGUAAUACGGAGGGCGCAAGCGUUACUCGGAAUCACUGGGCGUAAAGAGCGUGUAGGCGGAUUAAAAAGUCAGAAGUGAAACCCUAUAGCUUAACUAUAGAACUGCUUCUGAAACUCUUAAUCUAGAAUAUGGGAGAGGUAGAUGGAAUUUCUGGUGUAGGGGUAAUAUCCGUAGAGAUCAGAAGGAAUACCGAUUGCGAAGGCGAUCUGCUAGAACAUUAUUGACGCUGAGACGCGAAAGCGUGGGGAGCAAACAGGAUUAGAUACCCGCGUAGUC